This 167-nucleotide unclassified non-coding RNA is filed under the name uncultured Helotiales. RNAcentral describes it as "sequence contains ITS1". The record is from RNAcentral. Lineage: Eukaryota; Fungi; Ascomycota; Leotiomycetes; Helotiales.
CAGAGUUCAUGCCCUUACGGGUAGAUCUCCCACCCUAUGUUAUUCUCACUUUGUUGCUUUGGCGGGCCGCUGGGCUCACGCCCGGCCACCGGCUCCGGCUGGUGAGCGCCCGCCAGAGAACCCCAAACCCUGAUUAUUAGUGUCGUCUGAGUACUAUAUAAUAGUUA